RNAcentral lists this ribosomal RNA (116 nucleotides) under Lepisosteus oculatus (spotted gar). Lineage: Eukaryota; Metazoa; Chordata; Actinopteri; Semionotiformes; Lepisosteidae. The record is from RNAcentral.
GCCAGCAGUCAUAUCACAACUGGCACACUGGCAGCCCACUGAAGCUCAGCAGGUGUGAGCCUGGUCAGUACCUGGAUGGGAGACCUCCUGGGAAAAAACUAAGGUUGCUGCUGGAA